RNA transcript from Malania oleifera, 1913 nucleotides. It is a transcript of the gene named ras-related protein RABA4c, with no coding region annotated. Lineage: Eukaryota; Viridiplantae; Streptophyta; Magnoliopsida; Santalales; Ximeniaceae. The transcript is spliced from 4 exons. The record is from RefSeq and is a predicted model, not a curated record.
CAAAUUUGUUCAGAGAACAUCUCAUCCAAUAGAAUAUAAGACUUGCUAGAACCGGUGAGGUAAGGGCCGGGCGCCGACUGCCGGCCGUUGGUCUUGCUCUACUAUAAUUCACCGUCAAAGUGUCGACCACGUCAAAGCUCGUGUUGAUCCAACUUUUCUUCCUUUCUAAAACCUAUCUCUCUCUCUCUCUCUCUCUUUCUCUCUCCUCUGAACCAUUUAGCCUGUAGAUAUUCACCGCUCGAUUCGUGCCAAGUUCGAUCAGCCCCCUGUUUCAGCCUUUUCCUUUGUUGGCUUGCUCGAAUUUGGGGGGUUCGAGAAGGAAUUGAUCAAAUUGGCGCAUAAAAAUGUCGAGUUUGUAUGGGGGGGAUUUCAAUCAGAAGAUCGAUUACGUAUUCAAAAUCGUGUUGAUCGGGGAUUCGGCGGUCGGAAAAUCUCAGAUGCUGGCUCGCUUCGCCAGAAACGAGUUCAGUUUGGACUCGAAGGCAACGAUUGGGGUUGAGUUUCAGACGAGGACGCUAGUCAUCGACCACAAGACCGUCAAGGCACAAAUUUGGGACACUGCUGGGCAGGAAAGAUAUCGGGCAGUGACAAGUGCAUACUAUAGAGGUGCUGUGGGAGCAAUGCUUGUGUAUGACAUAACCAAGCGCCAAUCAUUUGAUCAUGUGGCGAGGUGGUUAGAGGAAUUGCGGGGCCAUGCUGACAAGAACAUUGUGAUCAUGCUCGUAGGAAACAAGUCUGACCUGGGGACCCUUCGAGCUGUGCCCACUGAGGAUGCUAAAGAAUUUGCUCAAGGGGAGAAUCUCUUCUUUAUUGAGACAUCUGCUCUUGAGGCUACGAAUAUUGAAACAGCUUUCUUGACUGUGUUGACGGAGAUCUACCGAAUUGUCAGCAAGAAAGCUCUCGUUGCAAACGAUGAAACGGAGACUGCGGGCGGUUCAGCACUUCUGAAGGGCACUAAGAUUGUUGUUCCAGGACAGGAACCAGAGCCUAAAGGCCAAAAGUAUUAUUGUUGCUCAUCCUCGUAGUGCUAUUUUCCUUUCAGCCAGUGUCGUGUGGAUUUUGCUGUUUAUAUCUUCAGGAGAAUCGUGGAAUGACACCUUGAUUUUGGUAUGAUAGGCUUUUGGGACACCACCGGUUCAAGUCCGAAACCCAAGUCACCUUCCUGCACGACCCGCUGCCCACACCCAUCGGGAAUAUGGACACCGGCACGUUGUAGCCGUCAACCAGGCUUACGUCGUAACAGUCACGAGGGCUCUCCAGAGUGAACUCCGCCAGGCUCGCAGGCGGCACCCCAACCCGCUCCAUCGCAUUCGAGGUUCCCAGCGCAGUCCGGUGGCGCAACCUCCCUCGCCGGAGGAAUCGAAGGAGCAGCCGUUGCGAGACCAAAUGCGACCGGACCAGGGGAAAGGUACUGGGACGGUGCUACUGUGACCGAGGUCUAACCCUGAGGCCACCGUUCAUCAGCGGAGGUAGGAUCGCUGGCCAUACUGUGCUGUUGCAGUUGUUCUUCAACGUGAAAAAUACCCCAUUGGCAGUACCUGAAACAAAACAAUUAAGCUAGCUAGCGGUGAAAUGAAAUCUCAUGUAUGCAUAAAUGCAGGAGUAAUAUUUAUCAGAAAUUAAAAUUAAAAUUAAGAGCUACUGUAGUAUGUACGUAGUACACCUAAGAAGAAGAAAAGCAUGAGAAGAUGAAGGUGCAAUAUUAUACAGGCAGCCAUCAUGAGAGACGUAAUUGAAGGUGGAUGGGAGAGUCGUUGGCCGAGAGGACCUAUAUAAAAAGUGGCUCUCUGCUUCAACCAUCAUUCAUCAAUGAAACCAAUAGAAGAAUAUAAAAUCUUACGGCUCUGAUGUAUAUCUUUGACUCCGCGUGUAGUUAGUAAUUAAAUAUAUAAAAAAAAGGGCUUCCUAGCUAA